GAGCACGAAGCCGGAUCCAAUGAUUUUAGAGAACAUUUACUAUGUUUAUGGAUCACUACAUGUGAUCUGCUAGAACAAGCUACCGAAGCACCAGAACUGCUCUCUUUGAUGGCAUUGAAGAAGGUGGAAUACGAGCACCAGCUUAUUCUUCACAUGAGAUAGAUGAACAUGAGAAUGAGCGAGCUAUGGAUCGAUUGUAGAGAUCGAGUCAGCAUUCUCAAGAGGGAUUUGUGAGUUCCUAGUAGGGAACACAUGGACACGAAGCUGCUGCGGUGACGACGAUGAUAUCAACAUGGGGCUACGACGGCGACGAUGACGACGACGAGAUCGACAUCGUCAUGGGGCUGCGGCGGCGACGACGACGACGGCAUCCUUACGGUGCUGCGGCAGCGGCGAUGAUGACGACAUCAACACCAUCAAACAUGGUCUUGUGGAGGCGCCGGCGACGAUGACCUAUAGGUGUGGUGUAUAUUGUAUAUAUAUAUAAAUAUGUAUGUAUUAAUUAUCUAUAGUAGAUGUGUAUGAUUGACUAUAUGCAUAAAAUGUGCG
Triticum dicoccoides is the source of this 549-nucleotide long non-coding RNA. RefSeq lists it as uncharacterized. The transcript is spliced from 3 exons. NCBI's taxonomy places the organism in Eukaryota, Viridiplantae, Streptophyta, Magnoliopsida, Poales, Poaceae. The record is from RefSeq and is a predicted model, not a curated record.